RNAcentral lists this transfer RNA (70 nucleotides) under Catoptrus aff. nitidus UF 18451. RNAcentral describes it as "tRNA-Leu". Lineage: Eukaryota; Metazoa; Arthropoda; Malacostraca; Decapoda; Portunidae. The record is from RNAcentral.
GCUAUUUUGUCAGAUAAUAUGUGCUAGACUUAGGAUCUAGUUAAAUAGAAAUUGGUUUCUAUAAAUAGCA